AUGGGGUGUGAGGUUGCAUUAAGCACGCCCUAUGCUACUCGGGUUAGUAGGGCACCCCACCCUCUAAAGGUGGGUAGCAAACCAACAACGAGCUUUAGGCCGGGGCGUGAAGGGGUACAACAGCUGUCCGGCUGCCCAGAUCCCGCAGAUGAUGAUGCCUUUACCUAGCGUGCUGCCCGGCUCGACUCCCCAUCCUACAACCACUUUUGCCUAUCGUCCUAACUUUUUAUUUUUGCCACAUUGCCUUGUUCAUCUUCCUUCCCUUGCUUCUGGGUUACCUUAGGUCAUUGGGUCAUCUCAGCCCUUGAGGUUGCCAACCUAAAUAUCUAGCAAAUAACUCAAACAAAGAAGCACACAACUCAACUCUCCGGAGAAUAUUUGGAGUAUGUAUUGCCAAACAUAACAUAUCAAAUUUAAUGGCUAAACAAAGCGAAAAACUACACGACAACAUCUCUCGGCUUAGAAAUUUGUAUCAAAUCGUGAUCUCUAAGAACAAGGAGGAGUCUCAGAAACAGUAACUCCCUAAUCUAGAGACAGACCCAAUCCCUGUGUAAUAGAGUCUUGCAAGCCAAAAAUAAAGCUUCCAUUGGGGUACAACAGCAAUUCUCUACAAGAACAAGCUGAACAACAGCAAAAUCAUGUCCACAAGAACAUGACGGAACCCCUUAUCCCAAGCUAUAGAGAGACCGUAAAAAGGCCCCAAGCAACUCGACAGCCAUCAGCGCUAAACAGAUAUGCAAAAUAUUAGGAGAGAAAGGGGAGCCAAAAGUUGUAAAUAAUUCAAGAUCAAACAAUCCAUCAUUAGUAUGAAAUUUGAAUUUUUUUACUGAGAUGAUCUCUGUUUAACCUUUACACAAAUUCAAGACAAUCGAUCAACAUUUGAAAUUUAUCGAUAUUCCCUUAAUCCUUCUGGGAUUUUUGUGUACUACGGAGGUUAUAAAAUACAAAUUACAGGGCUAUAAUUCCUACACAAGAACACCAACGAGUAAGAGUUGUAAUGUUAUGCUUUGAAAACACGUAUGCAAACUAACAAACUAUGUACUGUUACCACCAAAUUCACCCUUGUCGCGCCAAUUAACGACUUUCCUCCAUAAUUCUGACCAUCUUAUGUUUCUUCAACAGCCAGAACCAGGAACCUUUUCACCUGCAGCUCCAUCCCAACAAUUACAGGAUCUCCAUCAACAAGACAUAGGCUUCCCCCCCCUUCCCCCACAACAAAUAGUUGUAUCAGAACAACGGGGCAGACCACAAAUUUCAUUCAACUCGUUUUAAAUCUUUUUCUCUAUAUCAUACCAGAAAAACCUAAGACAGUCCUCCCUCAAAAAGAGACAAACAUAGCUUCUGAGUUCUGAGUUAGACUGGACGAGACGGUUAAAUUAUUUUAUCUAUUUCGUCUUUCUAUAUUAUGUGAUUAAUUUCCAUUCUGAACCUUGUUAGUUAUCCAAUCCAAUCUAAGUACACAUCAGAACUACCCUUGACUCACUUUCUUUGAGUAGGGUAAAUAAUGAAAUUUACGACUCUUCAACCCCAAUUGCAAUAAGUGCACUUGCUGAAUUGUCAAUAAAUCCCAGCAUUGAUAAAGAUGCUUGUGGAAUAAAAGGGACAAACAUGGCUUGAAAACAGAUCCAACAGAGAGAGAUGAAUUGAUGUCUCAACUGUUGUACGGAUAAGCUCAAAUGUUAAAAUUCCCCAAGAGGCAGGAAGAGGAAUCCUCCAAAUCUUAAAGAUGAGAUUACAAAACUUCCCAUCAAAAGUUGGAAUCAAACCAAGAAAGGAGAUAAUUGGAAUUGAAUCCCAUAAUAAGACGAAAUAGGUGAAGUCGUCCCACUGUCAUGCCAUAGCUAAUUUAGAUGACUCAUACGACAUCUCAUAUUAAAUUGAAGAAUAAUCCACAUGAUUUAGAAUGAAAUAGAAAACGAAUUUGACAAAAUAAUCUAAUUGUCGUGCCUGAUUUAACUCAUAACUCAGAAGGCUUGCCUGAUUAGUAUAGAAAGACUUAUAAACGAAAUAAUCGAACCGCCGCACACGGUCUAACUAAGAACUUAAUAGACCCGUCUGGUUGAUAAGAAGGACGAAUAAUUCAACUGUCAUGUCUGGUCUAACUCAGAACUCAGAAAGCUCAUUUGGUGCCUCAAAUUAGACUGAAUUAGACAAUUGUAUUUCUUUCAUAUCAUACAUGCAUACACAAGGAAAAUAGCACUUGCAACAAACCCCUGCAAGCUUCGAAAGAGCAUACGAUUUGAAAGCUUAUAUUAUGUUGCUAAGAAAAGUUAAAAACUAUGUCGCCUUUGCUUUUUCUCUAAUGAAAGAUAAACCGAGGCAUCUUGAAACCUAUACUAUGGUGACUCGUUGGUUUGGUAGUAAUGAAUAUGGCCCCUUCUAUACUGCAGUGUCAUUAAAUUGUUGCAGAAUGAUCUUAUAAAUGAUGACCAUUGUUCUUCUAGAGGAAUGGUGCAUGGUUAGCAUAAGUUACAGCCCCUUGUCAUAGAAUUAGUUAGACCUGAUAGGCACCCUAGUACUUGACUUAAUUUAUUGGAUCAUUUUUCUGAGGGUAAUAAUGUGCGACAAUAUUUCGCCAUAUAGACCAACUCCAGUGGUUGAGAUUAAAACCUAAAUUUUAGCUCAGAAAAUUUAGGUUUUAACCCAAAAAUAGUUUUUAUCUUCCAAUGAUUUUUAUCUUCCAAUGGUUUUGAUCAUAAGGAAGGCUAGGAAUUAUUUGGAACAUAUUGUGCGUAAAACUAAUUCUCCUCUUUCCCGUUACAUGAGGAUGUAAAAGAGAAUGUAGACAUUGGUGGGGUGGGGAAAAAUAAUCAGCUUGGGUGGAAUUUCCUUUUGUGAUUUUCUGUUUUAAAUAUCACUACUUUUCAGUACAUUAAUGUUAUAAACCAAAUUUAAUGGGAGGCUUUCUUUCCAUUGGUGCUUCUGUAGAAAGAAAAUAAGUAGCUGUAUUUUUACCGCGUGUUCGCAUAUUUGCGAGUCAUCCAACCCAUGAGUGGUUCGUUGUGAGUUGAUUGAAUCAAUCCCAUCUCUUGGUGGCAGGUUUUGGAUCGCGGUGAGAGAAUUGAGCUUUUGGUUGAUAAAACAGAAAAUCUGCAGUUCCAGGUACAUGCCAUCACUUCACUUAACUGGUCUGGUCUUAUAAUUUAAUACCGGUUUGAGUUCACUAGGCAUUUGUAGUUGACGUGCUACUUGGGAUGUUUGUAUUGAAUACAGGCUGACAGCUUCCAGAGGCAAGGCAGGCAAUUGCGACGUAAGAUGUGGCUGCAGAGUCUCCAAAUGAAGCUAAUGAUUGGAGGUGGAGUCCUUAUUCUGAUCAUCAUAAUAUGGCUUAUCGCCUGCGGAGGUUUCAAAUGCUAAGGUGCUAAGCAAACACGAAAUCGGCAAUUAUUAGGCAUCUGUUCUUCACUUGGUGUACAAAAUGUUAAUUGUUCCUGUAUACGUAAACUUUUGCAGAAUUUAAUACUCGACACUUGACAAUUCAUCUGCGAUGUAAUUAACCUCUAUUACCCGCUGGUUUUAUUUAAUCAGUUAAUUUUGAGGACAUAGUAGUUCUCUUAUUAACCUUUUCUUUUAACAUUUCAACGAAAGCGUCGUCGGGGAAAGAAACCCGAAGCAGUGGAAAUAAAACAUGUUCAGUAAGAAGAUCUUUAGCUUCACGUGCGUCAAGGCAUGACGAGAGACCAGUAGUUGAGUAACCAAGCUAAAGUGACAUUGGAGAACAAAGACAACCAGAAGCAACGGAAUUGGGGAUGCAGUGAUCACAUUGGUCGUGAAUGUGUGUACAAAGCAUUAUUUGAUCUCUUAUUGACUAAGAGGCAUGCCGCUUGAAUAAAAGAAACACGUUGAACGGGGGAAAUACACCUACCUCUUUGCUCUUGCUCAAAUCCCACAUCGAACAAUACUAUUACUGACACAGCAGUUUAUAAGAUGUUACAACACACAGUUAUAUUGCCGAGCCUAGUAGCGUGGGCUUGAAACUAAGCAGGGCAUUAAGGUGGGUGAUGAAAGUGGAGCUUGACCCGGGUGGGUAAUAGUGUUUGAAAUCUGUUCACAAACCAUCGUAUGGGGUGUGAGGUUGCAUUAAGCACGCCCUAUGCUACUCGGGUUAGUAGGGCACCCCACCCUCUAAAGGUGGGUAGCAAACCAACAACGAGCUUUAGGCCGGGGAGUGAAGGGGUACAACAGCUGUCCGGCUGCCCAGAUCCCGCAGAUGAUGAUGCCUUUACCUAGCGUGCUGCCCGGCUCGACUCCCCAUCCUACAACCACUUUUGCCUAUCGUCCUAACUUUUUAUUUUUGCCACAUUGCCUUGUUCAUCUUCCUUCCCUUGCUUCUGGGUUACCUUAGGUCAUUGGGUCAUCUCAGCCCUUGAGGUUGCCAACCUAAAUAUCUAGCAAAUAACUCAAACAAAGAAGCACACAACUCAACUCUCCGGAGAAUAUUUGGAGUAUGUAUUGCCAAACAUAACAUAUCAAAUUUAAUGGCUAAACAAAGCGAAAAACUACACGACAACAUCUCUCGGCUUAGAAAUUUGUAUCAAAUCGUGAUCUCUAAGAACAAGGAGGAGUCUCAGAAACAGUAACUCCCUAAUCAAGAGACAGACCCAAUCCCUGUGUAAUAGAGUUUUGCAAGCCAAAAAUAAAGCUUCCAUUGGGGUACAACAGCAAUUCUCUAUAAGAACAAGAUGAACAACAGCAAAAUCAUGUCCACAAGAACAUGACGGAACCCCUUAUCCCAAGCUAUAGAGAGACCGUAAAAAGGCCCCAAGCAACUCGACAGCCAUCAGCGCUAAACAGAUAUGCAAAAUAUUAGGAGAGAAAGGGGAGCCAAAAGUUGUAAAUAAUUCAAGAUCAAACAAUCCAUCAUUAGUAUGAAAAUUGAACUUUUUUUACUGAGAUGAUCUCUGUUUAACCUUUACACAAAUUCAAGACAAUCGAUCAACAUUUGAAAUUUAUCGAUAUUCCCUUAAUCCUUCUGGGAUUUUUGUGUACUACGGAGGUUAUAAAAUACAAAUUACAGGGCUAUAAUUCCUACACAAGAACACCAACGAGUAAGAGUUGUAAUGUUAUGCUUUGAAAACACGUAUGCAAACUAACAAACUAUGUACUGUUACCACCAAAUUCACCCUUGUCGCGCCAAUUAACGACUUUCCUCCAUAAUUCUGACCAUCUUAUGUUUCUUCAACAGCCAGAACCAGGAACCUUUUCACCUGCAGCUCCAUCCCAACAAUUACAGGAUCUCCAUCAACAAGACAUAGGCUUCCCCCCCCUCCCCCACAACAAAUAGUUGUAUCAGAACAACGGGGCAGACCACAAAUUUCAUCAACUCGUUUUAAAUCUUUUUCUCUAAAUCAUACCAGAAAAACCUAAGACAGUCCUCCCUCAAAAAGAGACAAACAUAGCUUCUGAGUUCUGAGUUAGACUGGACGAGACGGUUAAAUUAUUUUAUCUAUUUCGUCUUUCUAUAUUAUGUGAUUAAUUUCCAUUCUGAACCUUGUUAGUUAUCCAAUCCAAUCUAAGUACACAUCAGAACUACCCUUGACUCACUUUCUUUGAGUAGGGUAAAUAAUGAAAUUUACGACUCUUCAACCCCAAUUGCAAUAAGUGCACUUGCUGAAUUGUCAAUAAAUCCCAGCAUUGAUAAAGAUGCUUGUGGAAUAAAAGGGACAAACAUGGCUUGAAAACAGAUCCAACAGAGAGAGAUGAAUUGAUGUCUCAACUGUUGUACGGAUAAGCUCAAAUGUUAAAAUUCCCCAAGAGGCAGGAAGAGGAAUCCUCCAAAUCUUAAAGAUGAGAUUACAAAACUUCCCAUCAAAAGUUGGAAUCAAACCAAGAAAGGAGAUAAUUGGAAUUGAAUCCCAUAAUAAGACGAAAUAGGUGAAGUCGUCCCACUGUCAUGCCAUAGCUAAUUCAGAUGACUCAUACGACAUCUCAUAUUAAAUUGAAGAAUAAUCCACAUGAUUUAGAAUGAAAUAGAAAACGAAAUAGACAAAAUAAUCCAAUUGUCGUGCCUGAUUUAACUCAUAACUCAGAAGGCUUGCCUGAUUAGUAUAGAAAGACUUAUAAACGAAAUAAUCGAACCGCCGCACACGGUCUAACUAAGAACUUAGCAGACCCGUCUGGUUGAUAAGAAGGACGAAAUAAUUCAACUGUCAUGUCUGGUCUAACUCAGAACUCAGAAAGCUCAUUUGGUGCCUCAAAUUAGACUGAAUUAGACAAUUGUAUUUCUUUCAUAUCAUACAUGCAUACGCAAGGAAAAUAGCACUUGCAACAAACCCCUGCAAGCUUCGAAAGAGCAUACGAUUUGAAAGCUUAUAUUAUGUUGCUAAGAAAAGUUAAAAACUAUGUCGCCUUUGCUUUUUCUCUAAUGAAAGAUAAACCGAGGCAUCUUGAAACCUAUACUAUGGUGACUCGUUGGUUUGGUAGUAAUGAAUAUGGCCCCUUCUAUACUGCAGUGUCAUUAAAUUGUUGCAGAAUGAUCUUAUAAAUGAUGACCAUUGUUCUUCUAGAGGAAUGGUGCAUGGUUAGCAUAAGUUACAGCCCCUUGUCAUAGAAUUAGUUAGACCUGAUAGGCGCCGUAGUACUUGACUUAAUUUAUUGGAUCAUUUUUCUGAGGGUAAUUAAUGUGCGACAAUAUUUCGCCAUAGACCAACUCCAGUGGUUGAGAUUAAAACCUAAAUUUUAGCUCAGAAAAUUUAGGUUUUAACCCAAAAAUAGUUUUUAUCUUCCAAUGAUUUUUAUCUUCCAAUCGUUUUGAUCAUAAGGAAGGCUAGGAAUUAUUUGGAACAUAUUGUGCAUAAAACUAAUUCUCCUCUUUCCCGUUACAUGAGGAUGUAAAAGAGAAUGUAGACAUUGGUGGGGUGAGGAAAAAUAAUCAGCUUGGGUGGAAUUUCCUUUUGUGAUUUUCUGUUUUAAAUAUCACUACUUUUCAGUACAUUAAUGUUAUAAACCAAAUUUAAUGGGAGGCUUUCUUUCCAUUGGUGCUUCUGUAGAAAGAAAAUAAGUAGCUGUAUUUUUACCGCGUGUUCGCAUAUUUGAUGUAGAACAAAUGGCGGAAUGGAUCGAGGAGGAGAUGGAACGUCGGAAGACAAAAGGGCGCAAUCAUAAAAGGGGUAUUAAUUUCCCAUAAAAGUGGCUUGAGCCACUUUUCGCAGAAACGUGUUAAAAUAAUUCUCCCACAAAAGUGGCUUGAGCCACUUUUCGCAGAAACGUGUUAAAAUAAUUCUCCCACAAAAGUGGCUUGAGCCAUCUUUUGCAGAAAGUCAUCAAGACAGCAGCCUACUAAUAAAUGGAGUCUUUUGGGGUUUCAAGGGCUUUAUUAUAUGUCAGUUAUUUUCAUUUUAAUUUCCUAAGUCUUUUGAGUUUUCCAAGAGGUUGUAAAAGGCUUAUUUAAGCCAUGGCUUUGUAAUCAUUUGGACAUCUUUUUAUCAAUUAAUCAAAUUAUCCUUUGGGAUUUCUAUCAACUGGUGGACUCCAGUAAACUUUGUUCUACAAGGGAUUACGCUGGUAACCCUUUCAUUGCUUCGUGCUGCGUCAAUUGGUACCAGAGCGAGUUUCUCUCGUCUUGGCAUCGUUGAUUAUCCUAUCUAUCCAUGGGUGAUCGUGAUCGUGAACCUGCCCCUAUCACUCGAGCAGACUUGGAUGCUCUAGCUGAACAGAUUACAAACUUGACUACUCAAAUUGGAGAACUUCGUGAGAUGUUGGUCCAAGCCAUUGGUCCAAAUAAUCAUAGAGCUGUUGGAGUCAAUAAUCUACGAGUUCCUAGGCUCCGUGUUCAAGACAGCGAAUCGGAGUCCGAAGAAGAAGAUGUGGAACCACAUGCAGCUAACAAUCCAAACCAUCAAAACCGCAACAACUUUGAUGACUUUCGGAUUAAGGCCGACAUUCCAACUUUUGCAGGAAACCUUAAAAUCGAAGAUUUCCUGGAUUGGCUAGUUGAAGUAGAAAGAUUCUUUGAUGUCAUGGAGGUUCCCGAGACAAAGAUGGUGAAGAUGGUGGCCUUCCGUCUCAAAGCAACUGCCGCUGUUUGGUGGGAUCAAUUACAAAAUACUCGGCAGAGGCAAGGAAAGAAUCGAAUCCGCACUUGGAGAAAAAUGAAGCAACUCUUGAUGGAUCGUUUCUUACCUGCGGAUUAUGAACAACUUUUGUAUCGUAUAUACAUCAGCUGCGUCCAAGGCAACAGAAACGUGACUGAUUAUACGGAUGAUUUCAUGAGACUUGCGAAGCGAAACAAUUUGAUGGAGACAGAAAAUCAAAGGGUUGCAAGGUUCGUGAAUGGAUUGAAACCCUCAAUUCAAGAAAAGAUUGGGCUGCAAAAUCUGUGGAGUUUGCAAGAGGCCAUUAACAUGGCCUUGAAGGCGGAGAUAAUAGAGAAAGAAAGGCGACAAACCUCUUUCCGGAGGAACGUGACGGAGCAUUUUGAAAACCCUGUCGUCUCGUCCACCGACAAAGGAAAACCUGUGCCACAAAGUUCGGGAGAAUUGAAACCUUCAAGUUGUUCUUCUCAAGCAGCAAAUGAAGGGAGUAGCAGAACUUUUAACAAGGGGCAGAAUAGAAACCAACCUCCAAGGGAGAAUCCGUACGCCAAGCCUAUGGGAGACAUUUGUUAUCGUUGCACAAAAUCGGGCAUCGAUCUAACGUUUGUCCUGAACGGAGACAAGCCAAUUUGUUGGAGGCUGAAGGGGACCAAGAAGAAGUGGGUGAUGAUGACUAUGAAGGCGUUGAAUUCGCAACUGAAGAAGGAAUGGAUCGUCUCGCUUUGGUGUUGCAGCGAGUUCUUUUAACACCAAAAGAGGAUGGGGAACGACAUUGCAUUUUUCGUUCUCUUUGCUCCAUCAACAGCAAAGUUUGCGAAAUGAUUGUAGACAAUGGAAGUUGUGAAAAUUUUGUGGCCAAGAAAGUGGUGGAGCGUUUACAGCUACCAACGGAGCCUCAUGUCACCCCAUACUCACUUGGAUGGGUGAAGAAAGGACCUUCCGUCUAUGUCACAGAAACUUGUCGUGUCCCACUUUCCAUUGGUAAGCAUUACUGUGAUGAAGUAUUUUGCGAUGUUAUUGAUAUGGAUGCUUGUCAUAUACUAUUAGGGAGACCGUGGCAGUUUGAUGUGGAUUCGACAUUGAAGGGUCGAGAUAAUGUGGUGUUAUUUACUUAGAAUAAUCGGAAGAUUGCGAUGGCUCCUGUUUCGCCCUCUGAAGUACCAAAAGCAAAGAAUACUAGUUUCCUCACUCUAAUUAGUGAUAAGAAUGAGAUUGAAGGGGCCAUAAAAGAAGCAUAUUUUUUCUUUCCGAUCGUGAUGAAGGGACUAUUGACAGAAAACAAAGAAGAGGAACAAAUCUCUUCAGAAGUGCAGCAAUUAUUGGAGGAAUUUCAUGAACUCAUUUCUGACGAGUUGCCUAACGAGCUUCCUCCCAUGAGGAACAUCCAACAUCAAAUUAAUUUGGUACCUGGAGCUAGCCUACCAAAUCUUCCCCAUUAUCAAAUGAGCCCUGCAGAAAAUGAGAUUUUGAGGGAACAAAUUAAAGAUUUGCUGCGAAAUGGGUUUAUCCGAGAAAGUAUGAGCCCUUGUGCAGUACCUGCCCUAUUGGUUCCAAAGAAAGACAAGGAAAAGAAAAAGGCAUGGCGUAUGUGUGUAGACAGCCGAGCUAUUAACCGAAUCACCAUCAAAUACAGAUUUCCAAUACCUCGAUUAGAUGACAUGCUAGAUGUGCUUGAAGGUUCGAAAUUAUUUUCAAAAAUUGACCUUCGCAGUGGCUACCAUCAAAUUCGAAUCAGGCCUGGAGAUGAGUGGAAAACGACGUUCAAGAGCAAGGAUGGACUGUUCGAGUGGCUAGUGAUGCCAUUUGGAUUGUCUAAUGCACCGAGUACCUUCAUGAGGCUUAUGAAUCAGGUUCUUCGUCCCUUCAUUGGUCUCUUUGUUGUGGUUUACUUUGAUGACAUCUUAAUCUAUAGCAAGACCAGAGAAGAACACAUGAUGUAUUUGAGACACGUUUUGGGUGUUUUGAAAGAAAAUAAAUUGUAUAUGAAUCUCAAGAAAUGCAUAUUUUGUACAAGUAAAUUGCUAUUUCUAGGAUUUGUGGUUGGUGAAAAUGGUAUUCAAGUGGAUGAUGAGAAGACCAAGGCCAUCCGAGAAUGGCCAACUCCGAAGUCCGUCUCCGACGUGAGGAGUUUCCAUGGCUUGGCUACUUUUUAUCGGAGAUUUGUGCGGCAUUUCAGCACCAUCACCGCACCCAUUACAGAAUGUUUGAAGAAAGGCAAGUUCCGUUGGGGAGAUGAACAAGAACAAAGCUUUGUUUUGAUCAAAGAGAAGCUUUGUACUGCUCCGGUGUUAGCUCUUCCAAAUUUUGAGAAAGUAUUCGAAGUCGAAUGUGAUGCAAGUGGAGUGGGAGUGGGUGCUGUCCUUUCCCAAGAGAAGAGACCUAUAGCUUUUUUCUCUGAAAAGCUAAGUGAAGCCCGUAAAAAAUGGAGCACUUAUGAUCAGGAGUUUUAUGCGGUGAUUCGAGCUUUAAAACAAUGGGAACACUAUCUCAUUCAGAAAGAAUUUGUGUUAUUCACGGAUCAUCAAGCCUUGAAGUUUAUUAACAAUCAGAAGCAUGUUAAUAAAAUGCAUAUCAGAUGGGUAACGUUCUUGCAAAAAUUUCCAUUUGUUAUCAAGCACAAAUUUGGAGCUCAAAACCGUGUUGCCGAUGCCUUGAGUAGACGAGCAUCAUUGCUAAUCACUCUUUCCCAAGAAGUUGUGGGUUUCGAGUGCUUAAAGGAGUUGUAUACAACCGAUGAUGAUUUUCAGGAAAUAUGGAGGAAAUGCAUCAAUCAUGAACCUAUGGCAGAUUACUCUAUCAACGAAGGUUUUCUGUUCAAGGGUAACCAAUUAUGUGUUCCUAUCUCUUCCUUGCGGGAAAAGCUUAUUCGAAAUUUGCAUGGAGGAGGAUUAAGCGGUCAUCUUGGUCGUGACAAGACGAUAGCAAGUUUGGAAGAAAGGUACUUUUGGCCACAAUUGAAACGGGAUGUUGGAGCCAUUGAGGAAGUGUUACACUUGUCAGGUUUCAAAGGGGCAAGUCCAAAAUACGGGUCUUUACAUGCCUUUACCUGUUCCUAACGAUAUUUGGGAGGACAUUGCUAUGGAUUUUGUGCUUGGACUACCCCGAACACCAAGGGGAAUGGAUUUAGUUUUUGUGGUGGUUGACAGGUUCUCCAAGAUGGCUCAUUUCAUUGCUUGCAGAAAAACCGCUGAUGCAUCAAACAUAGCCAAACUGUUUUUUAGGAAGGUUGUUCGAUUGCAUGGGGUACCUAAGUCCAUCACUUCUGAUCGAGACACCAAGUUCUUGAGUCAUUUCUGGAUUACAUUAUGGAGAAUGUUUGGGACUACUUUGAAUCGAAGUACUACUGCACAUCCCCAAACUGAUGCACAUCCCCGAAACAGCCACCAAAAUUCCCUUGAUCUGCCAUCAACGGAAGAUCAAGCGAUGCCUCUGUCCAUAUCGAGUUAUCAAACACCGGAAAACUCUCGCUCAUGUUCCCCCCAGAAUAUCCCAUCCAUUCCUUCAUUGUUCACAUCACUAGUCAUAUUCUCCUCCACUUUCAUGCCACCCUGCUUCAGCUGGGUCUCAGCCCGGCGAGAAUUAUAAUUUCCGGAGGGCUGAUCCACCUUCACGUUCACACAAUUAUUACAAAUAACAGGUACUGCAUUAUCUUUCUCGGGAGCAACAUAACAUGCAGGAUAAGAGGUGGCACGCCGGGAUUGGCGGACGAGGGACAUGAAGAGCAAGUUACUGUUGUAAAAGAAUCUAGUAAAAGUUAGCUUUAGUAAAAGUUGGUUAGUUGUUAGAAUAGUUACCACUGUAACUAUUUUCUUUACCUGUGUAAAUCUAGGUAUAUAUAUAUAUAUAUAUAUACAUCAGUAUAACUAAUUUUAAAAUUAAUAAAAGGAAAUCAUUUGUCAAUAUGGUAUCUCUCGCCUAAGUCCACCGACUUCGAUCCUCUUUGGCUAUUUUCUUGCUUAUUUUCCUACCUACCAAACACAGUUGCUUUCGUCUGCCAACCUUCAGUCUUGUUCAUCAAUGGCAGCAAAUUCUUCUAAUUCUUCCUCUCCAGUGGCCGCCCCUGUUGCUUCUUCUUCGGCGAUUGCGAAUCCUUCUUCUUCGCAGCCUGCUCAUCUCCAUUCUUCUCCGACGAACAUAAACCCUAACUCCUUCUUUCAACCUUCGAUCAACUCUAUCACGAUUCAAAACAUCGGGAGUAUGAUUCAAACAAAACUCAAGCGUCACAAUUAUCUUGUUUGGCGUUCUCUUUUCGAGCCGAUCUUCUGCCGCUACAAGCUCACCUGUAUUGUUGAUGGAUCUGAACCGCCACCGCCUCAAUUUCUUGCUGAUAUUUCUGGAAAUCUGUCCUCAAUUCCGAAUCCAGCCUUUGAGAUUUGGUACGAAAAAGAUCAAAACAUCAUCAUUUGGAUCAAUUCCACUCUCUCUGAGGAUUUGAUUCCCUUUACUGUUGGUGUUCAAUCAGCCCGUGAACUUUGGCAAAAUCUUGAAAAGCGAUUUUGUGGAGUCUCUCGUUCUCAUAUUCAUCAGUUGAGAUCGAAUUUGUAAUCGAUGUCAAAGGGAACUUCCACCAUUUUUGAAUAUUUACAACGCAUCAAAGAAAUUACGGAUGCUUUCACUGCAGCCGGUGCACCAGUUGACGAUUCAGAUCUCCUUCACCUAAUUCUUAAUGGAUUGCCUGAUGAAUAUGAUUCCUUCAUGGAUUCAAUUCACUUUCGUCUUGCUGACACUACUAUUGAUGAUUUACAUGGAUUUCUUCUCAGCAAAGAAAUGGCUCUUGCUCGCCGAAAGCAAACUCAAGGUUCAUUUGAACUGUAUCAGGCAUUUGCUUCUAUUCCGACAGCUUCAAAUGCUCAACUCUCAGAUGAACUACAACAACCGUAAUCGAUACAAUCGGUUCAAUAAUUCCUCAACCAAUCGUGGUGGCAAUCAAGGUGGAAAUCGUGGCUUCAAAUCUUUCAAUUCUUCUGUCACUCCAUGUCAAAUUUGUGAGGACACUGGACAUCUGGCUAUUGAUUGUUCCAACCGCAUGAAUCCAAAUUUUCAAGGGCGUGUUCCACCAGCUAAGCUUGCGAUGUAUGCAUCUUCCAACACCUCUUCUUCUCCACCAUGGCUCUUUGAUUCCGAAGCAAGCUCUCAUAUGACCAACAAUAUUCACAAUCUUCAGAAUCCGCGGCCCUACACUGGUCCAGAUAAAGUCUAUAUUGGAGAUGGCCAAGGUUUGCCAAUUCUCCAUACUGGUUCUACUUUACUUAAAACACCCUCUGCCAAUUUUCAAUUAAAGAAUGUGUUACAUGUUCCUCAAUUGAAGCAUGAUCUUCUUUCUGCCAAUAUGUUUUUGCGUGAUAAUUGGUGUUUAUUAACCGUUAAUCCUUUUGACUUUAAUGUCAAGGAUCUUACUACGGGGAUGAUGCUUUUUAGAGCUCCUGUCAGUUGUGGUCUCUAUCCAUUUUCUGCUUCUUCUACUGCAACAAAGAUUCAUGCUCAUUCUGCAAUAAGGACCUCCUCUCAUGUUUGGCAUCAACGUUUGGGGCAUCCAACGUUCAAGACUUUUCGGUCAUUGCUAUCCAAGUCUUCACUGCCUAUUUCUAAUAUUGUUCAGCAAUUGUUUUGCUCAAAUUGUGUUUUAGGCAAAUGUGCCAAGUUACCAUUUCAAGAUUCUCUCUGUACUACUUCUAGGUCUCUAGAAUUGGUUCAUGCGGAUGUUUGGGUGCCAGCUCCAGUAUGCUCUAUUAGUGGUUAUCGCUUUUAUGUCAUAUUUGUAGAUGAUUUUACCAAAUACACUUGGUUGUAUCAUCUCAAACAUAAAUCAGAAGUGUUUCCUAUUUUUGUGCAAUUUCAAGCUCUUGUUAAGAAUCUUUCUAGACACAAGAUUGGCACUUUAAGAUCAGACUCAGGGUGUGAAUUUAUUAGUUCUAACUUCAAGCAUCACCUUUCUUUACAUGGAAUUCAGCAGCAACUCAGUUGCCCCUACACUCCUCAGCAAAAUGGUUGUGCUGAAAGAAAGCACAAACAUAUUGUUGAGACUGCUCGCACUCUUCUCAUUGCAUCACAAGUUCCUCAUCAAUUCUGGGUUGAAGCUUUUCUUACUGCCAUGUAUCUUAUUAAUCGACUUCCUCCAGUCAACAAGUCCUCUCCUUGGGAACAAUUUUUCAGGAAAUUUCCAGAUUACAAUUCUCUUCGGGUCUUUGGAUGUCAAUGCUUUCCUUGGUUGAAACCAUAUACCAACUCCAAGUUAGAACCCAAGAGCAAGAUGUGUGUUUUCAUUGGCUAUAGUUUAGCUCACAAGGGUUAUCGAUGUCUAGAUCCCUUCACUAAUCGGGUUUAUCUAUCUAGACAUGUUCAUUUUGAUGAACAAACUUUUCCCUUUCAUGAUCCAUAUCUUUUUAAAUCUUCCCCUUUAAAUACCACCAAAGUUUACUCACCCUUUUCCCUCACAUUUCCCAACGUUUAUUCAUUUACUCCUCCCCAUUCCCCUAUUCCACCACCCAUACCUUCCUCCCAUACUCAACCUGCGCCAUUGUCUUCUCAUGCAUCUUUUACUGCACCCUCCUCACCUUCCUCAUCUCACUCUUCUCAUCUCCAAGUCCCUGAACCACAUCCUGUACCUCUUGUUUCAUCUGUUCAUCUGAUGCAAACACGAUCCAAGUCUGGGAUAUACAAACCUAAGGCCUUUACUGUCGCCAAACAUCAUGUGCCCUAUCAUUUGGACAAUGAUUUUAUUCCCACUACAUAUAUCCAAGCUUCUAAACAUCCUCAGUGGAGAGCUGCAAUGCAGGAUGAAUUUAAUGCUUUGCAAAAUACAGGAACUUGGCAGCUUGUUUCCUCUACCUCUACUCAUAAUUUGGUUGGAUGUAAAUGGGUUUUUCAGAUUAAGAGGAAACCAGAUGGCUAUGUGGAUCGUUACAAGGCUCGGCUAGUUGCUAAAGGUUACAAUCAACAAAAGGGCAUUGAUUAUAGUGAUACUUUCAGCCCAGUUGCUAAACCUGUGACUAUAAGACUCAUUCUUACUCUUGCAGUCCAAUCAAAUUGGUUUCUCCAUCAGUUGGAUAUCAGUAAUGCAUUUCUGCAUGGUCAUUUGAAAGAGAAUGUCUAUAUGGCUCAGCCAACAGGGUUCAUUGAUCAAGAUAAUCCUACUCAUGUCUGUCACUUGAAGAAAUCCUUAUAUGGCUUAAAGCAAGCACCUCGUGCUUGGUAUGAAAAACUUCAAUCUGCUCUUUUCUCCAUGGGAUUUAAAGCUUCACACUCUGAUCAUAGUUUUUUUGUGUUGCACAACCCCAUUUUGGUUUUGGUUCUUGUUUAUGUGGAUGAUAUCAUAGUGAUUGGACCUUCUUCUAUUGUUUGCCACAACAUUAUUUCUCAGUUGAGCUCUCAAUUUCCCAUUAAGGAUCUCGGUGAUCUUCAUUAUUUUCUUGGUUUGGAAGUUCAGAAAUCAACCACAGGAGCUUUCAUUCAUCAAUCCAAAUACAUAUUAGACCUUCUCAAGAGAACCAAAAUGGAUGGGGCAAAGCCAUGUGCCACUCCCCUUAGCUCAGCCAAGCUUGAUCACACCGGUUCUUUAUUGUCCAAUCCAAAGGAAUAUCGAUCCAUUGUUGGAGCCCUCCAAUACCUUACUUGGACUCGGCCGGAUUUGUCUUUUGCAGUUAACUUGGUGUGCCAGUUCAUGCACUAUCCUAGAGAACCUCAUCUUCAAGCCGUAAAACUCAUACUCUGGUAUCUAAAAGGAACACUUGGUUAUGGCUUAUGGUUUCCCAAAACUACAUUUCCCCUACUUCUCAAAGUCUUUUCAGAUGCUGAUGGGGCAGGAUGCUCUUGGGAUAGAAGAUCCACUGGUGGUUUUUGCAUCUUUCUUGGUUCUUGCCUUGUUAGUUUGAGUGCAAAGAAACAACACACGGUUGCACGAUCCUCCACUGAAGCUGAGUACCGAUCCCUUGCACAUACCCUUGCUGAAAUUACUUGGAUUUGUCAACUUUUAACUGAUAUUGGGUUCCAGUUGCCAUCUUUGCCACAAAUAUGGUGUGAUAAUGUUUCUGCUAUUGCCUUAGCCUCCAAUCCGGUUUUUCAUGCUCGCACAAAGCAUGUUGAAAUCGAUUAUCAUUACAUCCGAGAGCUUGUUUUGGCUAAGCUUCUUACUGUUCAGAUUGUCUGUAGUGCGGAUUAACUAGCAGUUAUUCACACUAAAUCCCUGCCAAGACCCAGAUUUCUCCAGCUUCGGUCCAAGCUUUCACUUCAACCUUCUCCAUUUAGCUUGAUGGGGUGUGAAGAGCAAGUUACUGUUGUAAAAGAAUCUAGUAAAAGUUAGCUUUAGUAAAAGUUGGUUAGUUGUUAGAAUAGUUACCACUGUAACUAUUUUCUUUACCUGUGUAAAUCUAGGUAUAUAUAUAUAUAUAUAUACCUCAGUGUAACUAAUUUUAAAAUUAAUAAAAGGAAAUCAUUUCUCAAUAGGAAAUACUUGAUGUUGCAGGUGCGGGUUCAAUUGAUGACGGUGAUAUUUAGGGGCUUGUUGAUCUGGCAAAUUGAGCUUCGCCUAGGAACCGUAGAGCUUCCGGUUGGUGGCAUCAUAAGCCAGAGCAGCCUCAUGGGAGGUGUCGAAAGUCCCGAGCCAGAGCCAGGCCCCGCAAAUUUCCACAACCCAUUUCCCCCAGCUCAUUUGCCUGACGCCCUUGCAAGUGCACAUAGCGUUCUCCGGCCCUCCUUUUCCCCUCAUGCAACCUUUCCUCGAGCUUCCCUGCUCUGGCCACUUCCCUGGCUUCUUCUCCGCAACUCCAACACUGCUACUACCAGCAACCAUCUCCGAGUUCGAGAUUCUGAGAAUUUUUUGAGAAGAAUCGAGGAUUUUUUUCGUGAUUAUUAUUAUUAUUUUUUAAUUCGGAUGGUGAGUUUGAGAAACCAUAACCCGAGACGGUGGUGGUACUUAUAUGACGGAGGAAGGCAGACAUGACUGAAACGUGGCUUGUGGAAGAUUAGGGCUUGAAUACUUGGCAUGGUGAACGGGAGAUAUCGUGUCCAUGGCUAGCUUGAGUAGCCUUACUAUUUAAAUCUCUAAUACACACUUGGCUUACACCUUUGUUUGCUUUCUUGCUCAGGUGGCAAUCGGAGAGGAGAAAAAUUCCAGUUUUUCUUUCUCAUUUUUCAUAUUUGUAUUAACUCAUAGAUGAAUUGUAAUGGAUGAAUAACACUAGGAGAGAAAAGUUUUAAACUGUACGUAUGUCUUUCUGAAGUUGAUUGGAGUUGAGAUAAGGGAAAAUGAAUGAAUAACAUUAGGAGAAAACAAAUCUUAAACUGUACAGAAAACCUUUUUGAAGUCAAGUUGAGAUAAGUGAUAAAUGGAUGAAUAACUGUAAGAGAGAAUUCUUCAAUUCUAGAGAAAACUGAGCAUGUCUUUCUGAUUGAGAGAAAACUUAAACGGUAUAGAAAACUGACUGAGCAUAUGUAUGAAUAAGCAGGAGAAAAGAUUCUUAAACUAUAUAGAAAACUUACUGUCUUUCUAAGUUAUAAGUGAGAAAUAGAUGAAUAAGUGUAGGAGAGAAAAUUCUUAAACUAUACAGAAAGCUUAUUGUCUUUCUGAGUUAUAAGUGAGAAAUAGAUGAAUAAGAGUAUAGGAGAAAAAAUUCUUAAACUGUACAUAAAACUGAUUGAGUUUGUCUUUGUGUGAAGCUUACUGAAAGUUGAGAUAAGUGAGAAACUUGUUGACAGUUGAAACAGAGUGUUUGUUUAUAAUUAUUUUUUUCAUCUUUUAUUUAAAUAACAAGAUAAACAUGUUCAUUUUAUCAUUUUUUUCAAAAUAUUCGGAAAAGAAAGUGUGUGACAUAUAUAAAGGUAUUUUGUUUUCUUUCUCUAUGGAGGUAUUUGGAUGAUGGUAUCCGUUUUUAAGGGUUAAGUUUAUGUUAACAAUACAAGAAAUCAACGUCGGAUAUUAAGUUAUAAAUUGUUUGACUCAUAUUGAAUCUCUCAAAUGAGUGAUUUUUUUGUGUUACUGGAACACAUGGUAAUAGUAAGAUAUGUGUGUUAAAAAGUUGAUAACUUAAGAAAUACGGACUUUCAUUUUUAUUUUCUCUUUUUCUUUAUUUAUAAACAGAUAAGAACACUACUCUUAUUCUCUCCUUUUUCUUCUUUUUUUCUUGUUUUCAAUAUAUUUCCAAAAUUAAAAUGUCCACAAGAACAUGACGAAACCCACUGUCCCAAGCCAUAGAGAGACCACAAAAAGGCCCCAAGCAACUCGACUGCUAUCAACGCACAACAGAUAUGCAAAAUAUUAAUUAGAGAGAAAGGAGAGCGAGAAUAGUGAAUAAUUCAAGAUCAAACAAUCCAUCAAGAGUUUGAAAAUUAUAUUUUUAUACUUAGAUAAUCUAUGUUUAAACUUUACACAAAUUCAAGACAAACGACCUGCAGUUGAAUUUAGAAUGGAUAUCAACAUUCGUUUGAUCGAAAGGUUGCUCAUUUGUGGCCGAAAGGCCAAGAGUUCGAGUAGUGGAAACGGUCUUUUUGCAAAACAAAGAUAAGGCUGCACACGAUAGAAGUCUCCCCACACGCCCCAAUCCUCGCAAAACGAGGAGCCUUGUUGGCUUGGAGUCGCUCUUUAUCAAUAUUCACUUGAUCCUUUAGUGCCUUUAGCGCACUAUGAAGGUCAUAAAAUACAAAUUACAGGGCAAUAAUUCCUACACCGGAACACCAACGAGGAAGACUUAUAAUGUCAUGCUUUGGAAGCACGUAUGCAAACUAACAAAGCAAGUACUGUUACCAAAAAAUGAAAAAGAUUCAUGCAGAGAGAUUAACAUCAGUCCAAAGUGUUCGCUCCCUAAAUCGGCCAUGGGGCCUUGCGGGCAAGUCGGGGAUUUACUGCACAUACGAGAUUGGUGAAAGAUUCAUGCAGAGAGAUUAACAUCAGUCCAAAGUGUUCGCUCCCUAAAUCCGCCAUGGGGCCUUGCGGGCAAGUCGGGGAUUUACUGCACAUACGAGAUUGGUGGGUGCGGGCGUGCCACUACUAGAUGCCGCUAGUAGACGGGAUUUGAAUGAUUGAGGUUGCGCCUUUUGACUUCAAAUCAAGAGAUUGUGCCAUUUGAGUGAGAGUUGCUCAAAUCAAGGUUCUUUCUUUGCCUUAAAAAUAAGGACUUUACUUAUAUGGAGAGAUAGAACAAUAUGUAAAUGACAAGGUUGCUUGGAAAUAUAAAUGACAAGGGAAAGUGGCUAAUAUUGCAGAUUGCUUGUAAUUUAUAUGACUGGAAAUGAGUACAUAAAAACUACAAAUGAGAUCGAUACUACAAGUGAGUAGCAGAGCUAAUAAACUUAGAUAAAAGAAGGCUUUUGGCAAAUCUGGUUUGAGCAGAGUUUGUGCUUUUGUUUGUUUGUUUGAGUGUCCAUAAUCCUUGUGCUUCUGCUCCUUUUUAUAGAGGUCUGGAGGAAACCCUCCUGCUGAGGUUUUGUACUUGCCCGAAAGAAGCUUGGGCAGCUUGUAUUGUGAAAUGUUUAGAAUAAGCAAGUUUGAAUCUCCACCACAUAUCUCCACCACUUGUAAUAAAUUAAUAAUAAAAAGAAGCAAGCUGUCUUCUUCACAUGCCUCCUGCAAGAAUGUCUGAAUGCUUUUCCAAUCUACUUGAAGGCAUACACAUCUCCACCACCCAAACGAAUUGGAGAAACAAUAUUAUAAUGUCCAACCCUUCCACUUGCAUCUAAAUAUCCUUCCAAGUUAGCUUUCUUGCAUAUUAAUCCUCCAAAUGCCAUAUUUUACCCAAAUUGCCCAAAUAAGUAAAAAUGGGUAUAUUUUGAGUGCAAACACAAAGCAAGAAGCAUAAGUAUUCACCAAAAAAAACAAGAAAAAAGCAUAAGUUUCCAUAUUUACAACUGCACCACCAAAUUCACCCUUGUCGCGCCAAUUAACGACUUUCCUCACACUAGCAUCAUCCCACCUCACGAUCAUAAUUGCCAAAAUUUCAUAUACACAGGAACAAUUGCAAUUACUGAAGAACCAGAUUACAAUCAACAUCUUCCGCACAGUUUCCUCAGCACAAGAACACAUUAUAUAAAUUGUUGCAUGCUAAAGAUCAAACCAACUUCCUAAAAAAUAUUACACAUGGACCAGUAAAAUCGUAUUACAAAGGAUGAUAUGGCAUGUGAUGUGGCGAGUGCUUAAUAGCAUCCUAACAUUACCCCUCCCAUGAAAAUAACCUUGUCCUCCAGGUUGGAAGUUCACUCUAGCAACAAUCCAUGUUACUCCCUUAAUGCUCAAACAACCAAAACGUGAGCAGCAGCUUUCAACUAUGCUUUCCAUAUUCCUCUGCUCCCAAUAUUCACCGCUGAUAUAAUAUGCAUGGAACUUGACAAUUGGCUCCAAUUCUAUAUCCUUCAUUUCUAUCAGUAUAAACAAAAUAGCAAUUGAUUAAGAUCCCUUUUACUUAAAUGACAAGGGCAAUACUGAUCAGCUCUCUCUGCAAACUAGCAACUAAUAUACCAUCUCAUUUUGAUUUUCCUUCUCUGUCAUAGAAUCAGAGACCACCAUUGCAGACUCCACUCCACCAUAUUAUACAUGUUAUGUUUUGUAAUCAUACUUUGCAAAGUAUUCCCGAGACAGCAGAACGAGGGAAGGAUCAAGGUUCCUGCCAAUAUUCUGAUUUUUAAAAUGCUAUGGAAAUCGUUAGAGGAGUUAAGAGAGACCCGCUUCCUGAAAUUGUCACCUUCGCCUGAAUUUGCAACUUCUGGUCUAUAUUAUUUAGAGUGCCAAUAAUAUCUACGGUGUUUUAUUAUUCUAGUUUCUGUUUUUAUCUUUUUUGUAUCUGAAUUUACAAGGCAUUAUUUGUCCUCUUAUGAACUAGAGGCACGCGGCUUGAAUAAAAAAAACACGUUGAACGGGGGAAAUAGACCUACCUCUAGGCUCUUACUCUAAUCCCACAUCGAACAAUACUAUUACUGACACAGCUGCUUAUAAGUUGUUACAACACACAGUUACAUUGCAGAGUCUAGUAGCGUGGACUUGCAACUAAGCAGGGCAUUAAGGUGAUUGAUGGAAGUGGAGCCCGACCCAGGUGGGUAAAAGUGUUUGAAAUCUGUUCACAAACCAUCAUAUGGGUGUGAGGUCGCCUUAAGCACGCCCUAUGCUACUCGGGUUAGUAGGGCACCCCACUCUCUAAAGGUGGGUAGCAAACCAACAAUGAGCUUUAGGCCAGGGCGUGAUGGGGUACAACAGCUGUCCGGCUGCCCAGAUCCCGCAGAUGAGGAUGCCCUUACCUAGCGUGCUGCCCGGCUCGACUCCACAUCCUACAACCACUUUUUGCCAAUCGUUCUAACUUUUUAUUUUUGCCAUAUUGCCUUGUUCAUCUUCCUUCCCUUGCUUCUGGGUUACCUCAGUUCAUUGAGUCAUCUCAGCCUGAGGUUGCCAACUUAAGUAUCUAGCAAAUAACUCAAACAAAGAUGCACACAAUGUUGAGAAAAAUUUAGAAUAAACAACUCUAAAUUUUAUAUGUCAAAGAAGAAAUUCACUCGAAAAUUUGAGACACAACAAAAGACUUUAUUAAACUGAAAAUAUUACAAAGAAAGCUCUAAACUCUCACAAACACUCAACACACUAUAAGACUUGUAGUCUUAUUUUCUUCUUCACUUCUCGAUGAUUUACAAGGCUAGAGUACUUGGGUAUUUAUAGCAAGCUAUAUGAGAUACACACAACACAUUUAUUUAAACUAAUUAAUUCCCUACCACACAAAGUGCUUUGCAGCAAACUUGCCACAAAAUAUCAUCUAUUCCACACAUGUUGAGAAGUUUCUAC
This 21786-nucleotide long non-coding RNA is filed under the name Malus domestica (apple). Its description in RNAcentral is "long non-coding RNA (MDOM_LNC006529)". The record is from RNAcentral. Lineage: Eukaryota; Viridiplantae; Streptophyta; Magnoliopsida; Rosales; Rosaceae.